This 406-nucleotide ribosomal RNA is filed under the name uncultured bacterium. RNAcentral describes it as "partial 16S ribosomal RNA". It matches the Rfam family "Bacterial small subunit ribosomal RNA", at positions 30 to 526 of the family's 1533-position model. The record is from RNAcentral.
AUUGAACGCUGGCGGCAGGCCUAACACAUGCAAGUCGAGCGAGUGGCGGACGGGUGAGUAAUGUCUGGGAAACUGCCUGAUGGAGGGGGAUAACUACUGGAAACGGUAGCUAAUACCGCAUACCAUCGGAUGUGCCCAGAUGGGAUUAGCUAGUAGGUGGGGUAAAGGUCUACCAAGGCGACGAUCCGUAACUGGUCUGAGAGGAUGAUCAGUCACACUGGAACUGAGACACGGUCCAGACUCCUACGGGAGGCAGCAGUGGGGAAUAUUGCACAAUGGGCGCAAGCCUGAUGCAGCCAUGCCGCGUGUAUGAAGAAGGCCUUCGGGUUGUAAAGUACUUUCAGCGGGGAGGCGUUACCCGCAGAAGAAGCACCGGCUAACUCCGUGCCAGCAGCCGCGGUAAUUC